UGGGGAAUAUUGCACAAUGGGCGAAAGCCUGAUGCAGCAACGCCGCGUGAGUGAUGAAGGCCUUCGGGUUGUAAAGCUCUGUCUUUUGGGACGAUAAUGACGGUACCAAAGGAGGAAGCCACGGCUAACUACGUGCCAGCAGCCGCGGUAAUACGUAGGUGGCAAGCGUUGUCCGGAUUUACUGGGCGUAAAGGAUGCGUAGGCGGAUUUUUAAGUGAGAUGUGAAAUACCCGGGCUUAACUUGGGUGCUGCAUUUCAAACUGGGAAUCUAGAGUGCGGGAGAGGAGAAUGGAAUUCCUAGUGUAGCGGUGAAGUGCGUAGAGAUUAGGAAGAACACCAGUGGCGAAGGCGAUUCUCUGGACCGUAACUGACGCUGAGGCAUGAAAGCGUGGGUAGCAAACAGGAUUAGAUACCCUGGUAGUCCACGCCGUAAACGAUGAGUACUAGGUGUAGGAGGUAUCGACCCCUUCUGUGCCGCAGUUAAACACAAUAAGUACUCCGCCUGGGAAGUACGAUCGCAAG
Molecule: ribosomal RNA, 522 nt
Filed under: uncultured bacterium
Lineage: Bacteria
Description: partial 16S ribosomal RNA
Rfam family: Bacterial small subunit ribosomal RNA
Source: RNAcentral